AGCAUACAUCUUCCAAGUAAUAUUUCUUGCCGUGUAGACGAUCCACAAAACGCAAACAGAAGAUGCCAACGAAUGAGAACGAGAGCAACGAUGACGUUGAUAAUGGCGUAAAAUGGUUGAAGUCAGACAGAAAACCCAGAAAAAUACAAGUCGAAAGUAGUGGAAAUGUGUGUGGAAAUCCAAUGGGGGGCUGGUGGCGGUCCUUCUGCACAGGAGCCAAAAGAAAAAACGACAGAGCCGAGGAAAAUGCGAAAAGACCAGAAGACCAGGUACGAACAAACAAAUUGGAUGCGAAUGCAAAUAAACGAAAAUUAUAAAUAACAGCAGCAACGACCAAACUGGCAAUGGAAAUGGAAAACUCCGAGGAAAUUGAGGCUACGUACAUACCUGGCACUCGGAUGGGCAAAAGAAUAGCCAUGGAAAACUGGGGGCAUUCGUUUCCCAGUCGAAAGAUGAUGAGCCGCAAUAACAAACAGGUGUAGCUGGAAAAUGGAGACGAAACCAGAUGAUGACUCUAUAUAGGACGAGAGAACCGGCAAAACGAGAAGAAAGCAAGUGCAAUAUGUAGACGGAGCGACUGAUGAGUUGCAAUGAAUAGAAAUUGCCAAAGCAAAUGGUCCACAACAAUGCAGUGCUGAGAAAAAACGAUAAAAAAAAAAUGUUCCCUUACCAAAGCUUUG
This is a non-coding RNA of Drosophila melanogaster (fruit fly), 680 nucleotides long. The record is from Ensembl. NCBI's taxonomy places the organism in Eukaryota, Metazoa, Arthropoda, Insecta, Diptera, Drosophilidae.